CUCCGGUUGAUCCCGCCGGACCCGACUGCUAUCGGAUUGAGAUUUAGCCAUGCGAGUCGAACGUCCCCCUGUUGCGGGGGGCGUGGCGUACGGCUCAGUAACACGUAGUCAACCUGCCCCGGAGACAUGGACAACCCCGGGAAACUGGGAUUAAUCCGUGAUAGGUCAUCUCAUCUGGAAGGAGAGAUGGCUUAAAGGGGUACGCGGGCUUCUUCUGCGUAUUCGCUCCAGGAUGGGACUGCGGCCUAUCAGCUUGUUGGUGAGGUAAUGGCCCACCAAGGCUAUAACAGGUACGGGCUCUGAGAGGAGAAGCCCGGAGAUGGGUACUGAGACACGGACCCAGGCCCUAUGGGGCGCAGCAGGCGAGAAACCUUAGCAAUGUGCGAAAGCACGACUAGGUUAAUCCGAGUGAUUUCUGUUGAAGAAAUCUUUUGUCAGUCAUAAAACCACAGACGAAUAAGGGGUGGGCAAGUCUGGUGUCAGCCGCCGCGGUAAUACCAGCACCUCGAGUGGUCAGGAGGUUUAUUGGGCCUAAAGCAUCCGUAGCCGGCUACGCAAGUCUCCGGUUAAAUCCAGCUGCUCAACAGAUGGGCUGCCGGAGAUACUACAUAGCUAGGGAGCGGGAGAGGCAGACGGUAUUCUGUGGGUAGGGGUAAAAUCCUUUGAUCCAUAGAGGACCACCAGUGGCGAAGGCGGUCUGCCAGAACGCGUUCGACGGUGAGGGAUGAAAGCUGGGGGAGCAAACCGGAUUAGAUACCCGGGUAGUCCCAGCUGUAAACGAUGCAAACUCGGUGAUGCAUUGGCUUAUGGCCAAUGCAGUGCCGCAGGGAAGCCGUUAAGUUUGCCGCCUGGGAAGUACGGUCGCAAGACUGAAACUUAAGGAAUUGGCGGGGGAGCA
This 898-nucleotide ribosomal RNA is filed under the name uncultured archaeon. Its description in RNAcentral is "bacterial SSU rRNA". It matches the Rfam family "Archaeal small subunit ribosomal RNA", at positions 1 to 878 of the family's 1478-position model. The record is from RNAcentral.